RNAcentral lists this unclassified non-coding RNA (349 nucleotides) under soil metagenome. RNAcentral describes it as "partial contains 5.8S ribosomal RNA, internal transcribed spacer 2, and large subunit ribosomal RNA". The stretch from base 1 to 120 matches the Rfam family "5.8S ribosomal RNA", at positions 35 to 154 of the family's 154-position model. The record is from RNAcentral.
GAUGAAGAACGCAGUGAAGUGCGAUACGUAAUGUGAAUUGCAGAAUUCAGUGAAUCAUCGAGUCUUUGAACGCACAUUGCGCCCCCUGGUAUUCCGGGGGGCAUGCCUGUCCGAGCGUCAUUGCUGCCCUCAAGCACGGCUUGUGUGUUGGGCCUCCGCCCCCCGGCUCCCGGGGGGCGGGCCCGAAAGGCAGCGGCGGCACCGCGUCCGGUCCUCGAGCGUAUGGGGCUUCGUCACCCGCUCCGUAGGCCCGGCCGGCGCCCGCCGGCGACCCCCCUCAAUCUUUCCAGGUUGACCUCGGAUCAGGUAGGGAUACCCGCUGAACUUAAGCAUAUCAAUAAGCGGAGGA